Molecule: long non-coding RNA, 461 nt
Filed under: Monodelphis domestica (gray short-tailed opossum)
Lineage: Eukaryota; Metazoa; Chordata; Mammalia; Didelphimorphia; Didelphidae
Description: lncRNA (ENSMODG00000033039.2)
Source: RNAcentral
GGGAGAACUUGGAAAGGUAACUUCCUGUGGCUUGUUCCUGUCUGAACCAAGUAGGAGUUUGCCUACCUGUUCUUGUGGAGCUGAAGCUACCAUUUCUUCUGUCCUAGUAUCCUGGUGGGAGAUCCUAUCAACUUUGUCUCCUAAUUUAUCAUCCAACUGUGGUGCUGAUUCCUGAGUGUGUUUCCUGACAUCUGUGAAGAGAACUGCUGGCAAGUCAGUAAACCUGUCUGUGGGAAAGGCCAGAAGCCAUCUUGGGCCCAGGCUGAAGAAGAUUUUAAAGAUGGUUUUCAGAUGGAUUAUCAGUGAAAACCCAGGGCGAAUUCUCAAGACUUCAUGCAUCGAAGAGGAGCUAAAUACUGUGGCAAAUGCAAGAACAUGGAGCCAGUACUGAAGCCAAAUUUUCACUAAAUAAUAAUGAAGCAGAGAAUAAAGUUUAGAAAAAUCUUAGUUUUAUUUCUCUA